RNAcentral lists this transfer RNA (117 nucleotides) under Candida maltosa Xu316. It matches the Rfam family "tRNA". Rfam says of the family: Transfer RNA (tRNA) molecules are approximately 80 nucleotides in length. Their secondary structure includes four short double-helical elements and three loops (D, anti-codon, and T loops). Lineage: Eukaryota; Fungi; Ascomycota; Pichiomycetes; Serinales; Debaryomycetaceae. The record is from Rfam by way of RNAcentral.
GGUCGGGUAAUAUAGAGGUUAUUAUAUCCGCUUCACAGGUUCGAACCUGCAAGAAGUAAUUCUUCAAGUUUCGCUUGGAAACGCGGAAGGUCGCGAGUUCGAUCCUCGCCUCGAUCA